This is a long non-coding RNA of Corylus avellana, 1480 nucleotides long. RefSeq lists it as uncharacterized. The record is from RefSeq and is a predicted model, not a curated record. Lineage: Eukaryota; Viridiplantae; Streptophyta; Magnoliopsida; Fagales; Betulaceae.
UUUCUUCCUAUCCCACCCAUAUGUCUACAAUCUCUCAAACGUCAACCACCACUCACUCCUCACCUGCUCCCUCACUUCCCCCGUCACUCACCAACACCCACCACUCCUUCAAUCUUAAACUUACUCGUGAAAAUUAUACGUUGUGGAGUACCUUGAUUGUUCCUUACUUGGAAGGACAAUCCCUCUUUGGCUAUGUCACUGGUGACACAAUCUGCCCACCUCGGUUUCUUCCUUCCAGGAGCACCACUUAAUCCUCUUCCCCAACACUUAAUCCGGAUUUUUCCACAUGGUACCAAUAGGACAAGCUUAUUCUUAGCUUGUUGCUAUCCACCCUCGCAGAAAGUGUUCUCACUCAUGGUAUUGGACUCAAAACCUCCCGAGAGGUAUGGCUUACCAUGGAGCGUAUGUUUGCCGCCCAGUCCUAAGCCUGCAUCAAGCAAUCGCGCUUUCAGCUUGCCACUUUAAAGAAGGGAGCUUCUUCCAUCUCUGACUACUUUCAAAAGGCUCAAACCCUUGCUCACACCAUUGCAGCCAUUGAUACCCCUCUCAAACACUCUGAGCUAGUCUCAUAUGUACUCACUAGCCUUGGAUCCGACUAUGAUCCCCUUAUCACCUCUAUUACCACCCGCAUUGAUCCAGUUUCCCUUGAGGAUCUCUAUGGUCACUUAUUCACCCAUGAACAACGUCUUGAGCAUGCCAACUCUACAGGUGAUUUAGCAGUCUCUAGUGUUAACAUUGCUCACCGAAGCAACCUCCCUACUAGCCGUUCUCCAAGUCAGUUCACUCCUUUCCUACAUUUUGGUCGUCGAUGUGGGAGAAGGGGCUGUGGCCGUGGCUCUUUCCAUCAGCAUUCCUCCACCAUGCCCACAUGUCAAGUUUGCCUUAAACCAGGUCAUACGGCUGCCAAAUGCUACCACCGUUUUGAUCACUCCUAGCAAGUUGACCUAGCCACCCCUUCAGCUUACUUCACUGCUCCUACUGGGUUUUCUUCUGACUUGACUUGGUAUCCAGAUACUGGGUCUACAAAUCAUCUCACCCAUGAUUUGUCCAACCUCACCAUUCGAGCUGAUGAAUAUCAUGGUACUGAUCAAAUUCAAGUUGGUAAUGGCAAGGAUCUACACACGGGGACCUUGCUUCUCAAAGGGCCGAGUAAGGGAGGCCUUUACUCCUAGUCCUCCUCUUCCUCAUUGAGUAGUUCCCCUUCUGCCUUCGUGGGAGAACGAGUCUCUCUAAGUCAAUGGCAUCAUUGCCUUGGUCAUCCAGCUUCUCCUAUGGUUCAGCGCAUUUUGUCUAGGACUGGCCUCCCUAUUGUUUCCACUAAGAAGUCUUUUGUAUGCUCUGCCUAUCAGCAAAGAAAGUUGCACAAGUUGCAUUUUGGUUUAACUUCCUCUAUCUCCAAGAAUCCUCUGGAUCUCUUGUUUCUUGAUGUAUGGGGCCCUGCCCCUGUUUUAAAUAAAGAUACUUCCUUUUGUGUAGUUGA